CAAGGUUUCCGUAGGUGAACCUGCGGAAGGAUCAUUAUUGAAU
Molecule: ribosomal RNA, 43 nt
Filed under: Agaricus punjabensis
Lineage: Eukaryota; Fungi; Basidiomycota; Agaricomycetes; Agaricales; Agaricaceae
Description: partial 18S ribosomal RNA
Source: RNAcentral